AACGAACGCUGGCGGCAUGCCUAACACAUGCAAGUCGAACGAACCCUUCGGGGUUAGUGGCGCACGGGUGCGUAACGCGUGGGAAUCUGCCCUUUGCUUCGGAAUAACUCAGGGAAACUUGUGCUAAUACCGGAUAAUGUCUUCGGACCAAAGAUUUAUCGGCAAGGGAUGAGCCCGCGUAGGAUUAGGUAGUUGGUGGGGUAAAGGCCUACCAAGCCGACGAUCCUUAGCUGGUCUGAGAGGAUGAUCAGCCACACUGGGACUGAGACACGGCCCAGACUCCUACGGGAAGCAGCAGUGGGGAAUAUUGGACAAUGGGCGCAAGCCUGAUCCAGCAAUGCCGCGUGAGUGAUGAAGGCCUUAGGGUCGUAAAGCUCUUUUACCAGGGAUGAUAAUGACAGUACCUGGAGAAUAAGCGCCGGCUAACUCCGUG
RNAcentral lists this ribosomal RNA (433 nucleotides) under uncultured bacterium. RNAcentral describes it as "partial 16S ribosomal RNA". It matches the Rfam family "Bacterial small subunit ribosomal RNA", at positions 29 to 507 of the family's 1533-position model. The record is from RNAcentral.